GAUGAACGCUGGCGGCGUGCCUAAUACAUGCAAGUCGAGCGAACAGAUGAGGAGCUUGCUCCUCUGACGUUAGCGGCGGACGGGUGAGUAAAACGUGGAUAACCUACCUAUAAGACUGGGAUAACUUCGGGAAACCGGAGCUAAUACCGGGUAAUAUAUUGAACCGCAGGGUUCAAUAGUGAAAGACGGUUUUGCUGUCGCUUAUAGAUUGAUCCGCGCCGCAUUAGCUAGUUGGUAAGGUAACGGCUUACCAAGGCAACGAUGCGUAGCCGACCUGAGAGGGUGAUCGGCCACACUGGAACUGAGACACGGUCCAGACUCCUACGGGAGGCAGCAGUAGGGAAUCUUCCGCAAUGGGCGAAAGCUUGACGGAGCAACGCCGCGUGAGUGAUGAAGGCCUUCGGAUCUUAAAACUCUGUUAUUAGGGAAGAACAAAUGUGUAAGUAAAUAUGCACGUCUUGACGGUACCUAAUCAGAAAGCCACGGCUAACUACGUG
Molecule: ribosomal RNA, 497 nt
Filed under: uncultured bacterium
Lineage: Bacteria
Description: partial 16S ribosomal RNA
Rfam family: Bacterial small subunit ribosomal RNA
Source: RNAcentral